CUGGCCCAACUGAUUGAUGGUGCUUGCACCUGAUUGACGAUGGAUUACCAGUGAGUGGCGGACGGGUGAGUAACACGUAGGUAACCUGCCCCGGAGCGGGGGAUAACAUUUGGAAACAGAUGCUAAUACCGCAUAACAACAAAAGCCACAUGGCUUUUGUUUGAAAGAUGGCUUUGGCUAUCACUCUGGGAUGGACCUGCGGUGCAUUAGCUAGUUGGUAAGGUAACGGCUUACCAAGGCGAUGAUGCAUAGCCGAGUUGAGAGACUGAUCGGCCACAAUGGAACUGAGACACGGUCCAUACUCCUACGGGAGGCAGCAGUAGGGAAUCUUCCACAAUGGGCGCAAGCCUGAUGGAGCAACACCGCGUGAGUGAAGAAGGGUUUCGGCUCGUAAAAGCUCUGUUGUUGGAGAAGAACGUGCGUGAGAGCAACUGUUCACGCAGUGACGGUAUCCAACCAGAAAGUCACGGCUAACUACGUGCC
RNAcentral lists this ribosomal RNA (483 nucleotides) under uncultured bacterium. Its description in RNAcentral is "bacterial SSU rRNA". It matches the Rfam family "Bacterial small subunit ribosomal RNA", at positions 36 to 509 of the family's 1533-position model. The record is from RNAcentral.